RNAcentral lists this long non-coding RNA (1308 nucleotides) under Homo sapiens (human). RNAcentral's name for it is "non-protein coding HECTD2-AS1:8". The record is from RNAcentral. Lineage: Eukaryota; Metazoa; Chordata; Mammalia; Primates; Hominidae.
ACUGAGCAGCAUGGUUCCAAAGGACAGCAAAAGCACUUUACUGCCUUAGAAGGAGGGGAGGCUUUGCCAGGCCUAUGAAACCCUCAUCUGGAUCUGGCCUCCAGGGCAGCCUCCUGCCUGCCUCUCUGGUGAGGCUCAGCUUCUGCUCUGCCUCACCAGCUCCCCUCCAGUUCCCCUCACUCUGAGGGUGCAGGGAGCAGGGUCCCACGGGAGCAUUGGUGUGAGAGGGAGCUCCCAGCACCGAGGGAGAAGCAGGACUCACUGACCAAACCAUGUGUUUGUGCUGGAAGGGCCUCACUGCAAACAUGCUCAUCUUAUGGAAGAAGAAAGGAGGUUCAGAGAGGGAAAGGCUUGCCUGAGGUCACACGGAAAUCAACUGCCUCUUCAUUCUUCCCCAGGCCUUCACAAUGAACAGAAAGCUGCAGUUUCCUCCUCUGUAUUCUUUCUCCACUCCCACUCGCCUCAUGUACCCCACUGACCCAGGUAUGAGAAACCCAGCCUGCACCUUCUAUAGCACCACAUGCCUAGACUGAGGAAAGAUCCACAAAUGCCACUCUUCUUCGAAUAGCCUACCUUCAUGAAGUCUCACCAACCCGCUGAAUAUGGACUCCAACGGUGCCCUAGGGGAUGGUGGAGCCACCAGAUGGAAGGAGCCUGGUGAUCCCGAGAAGGAGAGAUGCCUCGCUGACCUGAACAUCUUUCCAGAACUGUUAAAUGAAGCCUGCAGGACACCAGCUGACAGUGGAAGGACUGAGGAAGGUUGUAUAAUUUUGUGCAAGGUCCACCACAAAUCCAGCUGAAGAACUGCUCCAAAGUUUAGGUCAUGGCAAGAACAAGACUGGAUCACUCCAUGUCAGUGGAAACAUGUCCACCAACUUCAUCAUUGUCUGUUGUCAUGGUUCACUUUAGAUGUAAACUUGACUGGAUUAAGGAUUCCCUAAAGUGUCAGGCCUCUGAGCCCAAGCUAAGCCAUCAUAUCCCCUGUGACCUGCAUGUACACAUCCAGAUGGCCGGUUCCUGCCUUAACUGACGACAUUCCACCACAAAAGAAGUGAAAAUGGCCUGUUCCUGCCUUAACUGAUGACAUUAUCUUGUGAAAUUCCUUCUCCUGGCUCAUCCUGGCUCCAAAGCUCCCCCACUGAGCACCUUGUGACCCCCACUCCUGCCCACCAGAGAACAACCCCCUUUGACUGUAAUUUUCCUUUACCUUCCCAAAUCUUAUAAAAUGGCCCCACCCCAUCUCCCUUUGCUGACUUUCUUUUCAGACUCAGCCCUCCUGCAACCAGUUGAUUAAAAGCUUUAUUGCUC